UACGUAGGGUGCAAGCGUUGUCCGGAAUUAUUGGGCGUAAAGAGCUCGUAGGCGGUUUGUCGCGGCUGCUGUGAAAACGCGAGGCUCAACCUCGCGCCUGCAGUGGGUACGGGCAGACUAGAGUGCGGUAGGGGAGAUUGGAAUUCCUGGUGUAGCGGUGGAAUGCGCAGACAUCAGGAGGAACACCGAUGGCGAAGGCAGAUCUCUGGGCCGUAACUGACGCUGAGGAGCGAAAGCGUGGGGAGCGAACAGG
RNAcentral lists this ribosomal RNA (253 nucleotides) under uncultured bacterium. RNAcentral's name for it is "partial 16S ribosomal RNA". It matches the Rfam family "Bacterial small subunit ribosomal RNA", at positions 524 to 776 of the family's 1533-position model. The record is from RNAcentral.